AAAAUGGUUCGGAGUGACACUGGG
RNAcentral lists this non-coding RNA (24 nucleotides) under Cricetulus griseus (Chinese hamster). The record is from RNAcentral. Lineage: Eukaryota; Metazoa; Chordata; Mammalia; Rodentia; Cricetidae.